UGUUUUNUCAAAAACAUGGCGUUUUGAUAAUAAUUUAAGGUNUGACCUGCCCAAUGAAUAUUUAAAUGGCCGCGGUAUUUUGACCGUGCAAAGGUAGCAUAAUCAUUAGUUUUUUAAUUGAAAGCUGGAAUGAAAGGUUGGAUGAAAAAAAAACUGUCUCUAUUUAAAUUUUUUAGAAUUUUAUUUUUAAGUAAAAAAGCUUAAAUUUAAGUAAAAGACGAGAAGACCCUAUAGAGUUUUAUUAAUUAAAAUUAAAAAUUUUUGGAAUUAAUAAUUUUUAUAUUUAAAAUUAAUUUAGUUGGGGUGAUUAAAAAAUUUAUAAAACUUUUUUUUUAUUUAACCAUUAAUUUAUGAAUAUUUGAUCCUUAAAAUUAAGAUUAAAAGAAAUAAUUACCUUAGGGAUAACAGCGUAAUUUUUCUAGAGAGUUCAAAUCGAAAGAAAAGUUUGCGACCUCGAUGUUGGAUUAAAAUAAAAUUUUGGUGUAGGAGCUAAAAAAUUUAGGUCUGUUCGACCUUUAAAAUUUUACUUGAUCUGAGUUCAAACCGGAG
This 549-nucleotide ribosomal RNA is filed under the name Airosimus jacobi. Its description in RNAcentral is "partial 16S ribosomal RNA". It matches the Rfam family "Bacterial large subunit ribosomal RNA", at positions 1801 to 2621 of the family's 2925-position model. Lineage: Eukaryota; Metazoa; Arthropoda; Insecta; Coleoptera; Curculionidae. The record is from RNAcentral.